RNAcentral lists this ribosomal RNA (261 nucleotides) under uncultured archaeon. Its description in RNAcentral is "partial 16S ribosomal RNA". It matches the Rfam family "Archaeal small subunit ribosomal RNA", at positions 748 to 1009 of the family's 1478-position model. The record is from RNAcentral.
CAGCCGUAAACUAUGCUCGCUAGGUGUCAGGCAUGGCGCGACCGUGUCUGGUGCCGCAGGGAAGUCGUGAAGCGAGCCACCUGGGAAGUACGGCCGCAAGGCUGAAACUUAAAGGAGUUGGCGGGGGAGCACAACAACGGGUGGAGCCUGCGGUUUAAUUGGACUCAACGCCGGACAACUCACCGGGGACGACAGCAAUAUGUAGGCCAGGCUGAAGACCUUGCCUGAAUCGCUGAGAGGAGGUGCAUGGCGUAGACGUCU